GAAGGCACCUUGGACGAGCGGCGUUUGGUCGGACUACACCGUGAGGGUGCUCCUGGAGUCGAGGUGUAGUCUGGCAGAAACGUCGGUUGUCUGGGGAGGCGCAUUCGGCG
RNAcentral lists this microRNA precursor (110 nucleotides) under Ixodes scapularis (black-legged tick). Its description in RNAcentral is "microRNA isc-mir-5310 precursor". Lineage: Eukaryota; Metazoa; Arthropoda; Arachnida; Ixodida; Ixodidae. The record is from miRBase by way of RNAcentral.